GCCAUUUUAACUCAGUGGUAGAGUAACGCCAUGAUCAGGCGUAAGUCAUCGGUUCAAAUCUUGAUAGCA
Molecule: transfer RNA, 69 nt
Filed under: Phaseolus vulgaris (common bean)
Lineage: Eukaryota; Viridiplantae; Streptophyta; Magnoliopsida; Fabales; Fabaceae
Rfam family: tRNA
About the family: Transfer RNA (tRNA) molecules are approximately 80 nucleotides in length.
Source: Rfam by way of RNAcentral